ACAUGUUGCAACUCUUUUAGAAUUUGUCUAGCUGGUUUUCAGGUUUUUACCAGGAAACUCAU
This 62-nucleotide small nuclear RNA is filed under the name Sapajus apella (tufted capuchin). Its description in RNAcentral is "Cebus apella (Tufted capuchin) U7 small nuclear RNA". It matches the Rfam family "U7 small nuclear RNA". Rfam says of the family: Animal histone pre-mRNAs are spliced by a different mechanism than nuclear pre-mRNAs and self-splicing introns. RNAcentral also lists the same sequence under 2 other names. Lineage: Eukaryota; Metazoa; Chordata; Mammalia; Primates; Cebidae. The record is from Rfam by way of RNAcentral.